RNAcentral lists this ribosomal RNA (439 nucleotides) under uncultured bacterium. RNAcentral describes it as "partial 16S ribosomal RNA". It matches the Rfam family "Bacterial small subunit ribosomal RNA", at positions 339 to 795 of the family's 1533-position model. The record is from RNAcentral.
CUACGGGGUGCUCCAGUGAGGAAUAUUGCACAAUGGGGGGAACCCUGAUGCAGCAACGCCGCGUGGAGGAUGACGCAUUUCGGUGUGUAAACUCCUUUUAUAUGUCAAGAAAAUGACGGUAGCAUAUGAAUAAGCACCGGCUAACUCCGUGCCAGCAGCCGCGGCAAUACGGAGGGUGCAAGCGUUACUCGGAAUCACUGGGCGUAAAGGACGCGUAGGCGGGUUGGAAAGUCAGGUGUGAAAUCCUACAGCUUAACUGUAGAACUGCACUUGAAACUUCUAAUCUAGAGUAUGGGAGGGGGAGAUGGAAUUAGUGGUGUAGGGGUAAAAUCCGUAGAUAUCACUAGGAAUACCUAAAGCGAAGGCGAUCUCCUGGAACAUUACUGACGCUAAGGCGUGAAAGCGUGGGAAGCAAACAGGAUUAGAUACCCGAGUAGUC